UGGCAUUGCCAGUGACCUUCAAGUGUUCAUUCUGUGUGUGUCUCUGCCAGUGGUUGUCUGGUAUUCCUCAACAGUAAAAAACAAACAAACAUUUCCUCAACUUUUAUUCCAUAUUUUUCAAAUACCAGUAAGUGGGACACUUGCUAACAAAUCAUGUACCAAACAUCUCCUUUUUCUAGACGCAAAUAGUUUCUCAGUUUGUUCCCUAUUAAAUGUGUUUGAGUGAUUUUAAACCACCAUGGUGACUGUAAUACAUUUAUUCACUAAAUAGCGAAUGUUGAUGUAUUGCAAAAAGUAGUCUAAAUUCAGUUGAAUUUAGGGAAGCCACCUGAAGCAUUUGUUGUAUUUGAGCUAUUUAAAUUACUUUAGUUUGAUUUGUUCAUUGCAAACAGCUGAUGUUUGUACACUUUGACAAUAAAUCAGAUUUUUAAUGAUUUUGAUUACGACUGUAAAACAUCUUCAAGAAGUGGAUGGUGUAUUUUUGUUUAUUGAAGAUAGUCUUAAAAGCACCAAAUACUAACGCAUAAGGAUUUAUCCCAGUGGGAUAAACUCCUGGAAGAUGAUGUCAAUUUUAAGGUUUGUAACCAUUGAGUUAAGGAAAAUGAUUUUUCAUGGUCAUUUUGUCACCUGAUCAUAUAUGGAAGUUUAUUUCCUCCUACAUUAAAGCAUAAUGAAAGAGUCUUUAUUACCCUUAUUACCACUGGUACACCAUUUCCCAAAUGGAGUAAUC
Pelobates cultripes (western spadefoot toad) is the source of this 730-nucleotide non-coding RNA. The record is from the annotation of a GenBank genome assembly. Lineage: Eukaryota; Metazoa; Chordata; Amphibia; Anura; Pelobatidae.